This 3438-nucleotide long non-coding RNA is filed under the name Fukomys damarensis (Damara mole-rat). RNAcentral describes it as "lncRNA (ENSFDAG00000028179.1)". The record is from RNAcentral. Lineage: Eukaryota; Metazoa; Chordata; Mammalia; Rodentia; Bathyergidae.
AAUCCCCCCGGCGCGCUCAUCAGACCAAGGCCCAUGAACGUGGCAGCCUGGACCUGCAGGAGGGUUGCUGUGGGCAUCAGCCCCGGAAGGACGGGAGGUCAGGGCCUGUGCUUACCUCCUUCCAAGCAGACCCAGGACCCCGGAGGUGGAGGCCGAGGCCCUGACUGGAUUUCCAUCUUUGAGGUUUUCCUUUUUUCUCAUUUUGAUUCGCACAUGCUCACAGUGGGGAACGUUUGCAUUCAUCUCGGGCCAGGUGCACACUUAGCCAGUCUUGGGGCUCCUUAUCCCUCUUCCCCUCUCUGUCUGGGAAGCCCUUCCCACCGGUGGGGCUGCCUCCCCACACCGCCUUUCCACCCACACCCCACGGCUCCAUCUGCCCUGGGAGCACCCUCGGGCCCCAGCUCUGACCCUCCCCCCCUCGGCCUCCCACCCGCCCCCCACCAGCCCCUUCCUAACCCUCCGUCUUUCCUUCGCUCUCCCCCACAUCUCAGACACCGCUGGUAACAAUGGCACAGCCUAGAAGAGGCGCUGGAAAGGGAUGAAAGCAUGAAAACGGUUUUCCUGCUCAGGACCGACAGCGCUUGCUUGUGUGGAAGGACACACGGCCACUUCGGAGCUGGAGCCCCCUCCCCUGUCCCUCGGGGUCUGGCGGGGCCCCCUCCCCAGGCUCAGACCCCGGCCUCUGUGCGCGGGAGCUGUGUGGUCUCCUGGGGAGGUCACGUAAGUUGUCUGAACAAGUUUCCUGGUGUAGAAAACGGAAGCAGGGAACCAGGGAACGCACACAUCACCCCGAGCGCAGUGCUCGGCCUCCUCCCGCGGACGGCUGUCCUUGCUGCCGGCCACUCACUCCGCGGAAAGGAAGCCCUGGUGCCCCAGCACGGAGGCUCCGCAGCUGCCCACCCCCACCCCCCCACAGGCUGGGCUCACGUCCCGAAGCAGGGCACCCAUGCCACCUCCCGUGCACCCAGCAGUGCCGGGGCCUGGGAGGGACCUGCUUGGUGCCAACGGUGCCCCACACGUGCCCUGGCACCGCUGCACCCAGACCUCCACCCAGCCCCCUCCCCUCCUGCUUUCCCCUCAGUGGCGACAGCGCCGCUCAUCCAGGCCUGGGCAGAAGCCCAAGUUGCCCCGGGCAUGCAGCACUGCGGAGCCCUGACGGUGCCCAUCCCGGGCUACCUCCAGCGUCGCCACCCCCACCUCCCGGCUCCCAGCCCCGNNNNNNNNNNNNNNNNNNNNNNNNNNCGUCCAGCCCCCCCACUCGCCCUGACUGGGGCUGUGCGGCCAGCCUCCCCCAUGGCCCCCGUGCUGUCCCUUCUCCACUCAGAGCCACAUUGUCCUGGCCACCGAUGCCAGCGGCUUUCCCUGCUCCAGCCUGUGGAAGGGUCGGAGUUCUGUGACCCAGAGGAAAUGCCAGCCCCUCGGUCCUCGGUGGCGGUGUUCCCUCCCCUCCCGGCCCCGUGCCAAAGCCCCCAGACCCCCCGGAUGCCGGUGCGCCUGGGCUGCGGUGAAGCUACCUCGUGGACUCUUGAGUCCCGGAGACAACACACAGCCGCUCCCCGCUGCCCUCUCCUCACCAAGAGCUGCCUGGGCAUCCAGGCCAUGGUGCAGGACCCACUUCCUCCUUGACCUCCUUCGCCACUUCCAAAGCCAGCUGGUCCAGCUCCAGAAGAUUCCCUGGAAGAGAGAUAAAAUGAGGGUCCCCACACACCUAGAGAAGCGCGGCCCAGCACGGAAUCCAGACUCAGCUGUGGAUCUCCUUAAAUUCUCCUUCCCGAGAGGCAGCGGGCAGAGGCCGGGAUGGCGCCUCCGCCUGGGGCCGCCGCCCCUUCCCUCCCCGGGGCGAGAAGCCGCUUCUCCCCGGCCCCCGUCCUGCCUCGCUGUCUCCUCAAGACGAAGGCGCCCCCGGUCCAUCGCACCCUUGCACACAAGAACUUCCCUAUCCAGAGGGACGAAAGGCCUGGGCGUUCUAGGGGUUCUGCAGAAUCCGGGGACCUACGAGUCCUCCCGGCCGCCCUCGAGGAGGUGGCGGGAGGUCGGGCUCUGCUGAGCCGCAUCUUGAUGCUCGCAGGCUGCUGUGUUCCAGACUCUGGUGCCGGAUCUCCUCUGGCCGCAGCAGCACAUCGUCACGUCCUCCAGGGGCUCCUCCAGGGCUCACUUCCGGGGAGCUAUGGGAGGCUUUCAGAGGGGCGCUCCCCGGCGGGUCCUCUCCUUCCCAUCUGCCAUCCCGCAGAGCUCUCCUGGGCUGGGUAGGGCAGCACUACCCACUGUGCCGGCCCAGUCUGCAGCUCCACCUCCAGCGCCUGCCCUGGGCCAGCUGCCUGCCGUUCUGCUCCCUCUCUUGGCCCUGUUGGUCGCCUCCUGCUCGAUCUGGGUCGUCUGCAAACCCAAAGGCUCAGGGAGCACCAGGCAGGGCUUCGCCUCCCCCACAGUGAUCUUCCCUCCCAAGGACAAGGCAGAGCCAAAGCCGAGGACCAGCCCUGCCGAGCUCCAGCGCGCCCGGAGGUCCAGCUCUCUCGACCCGCCAGCCCUUCUCAGCAGGGCUCCAACAGCCUGCACACCGCAUGCCCGAGUUACCAUUUAAAGCUUCCUUUCCAGCACCUCACACACACUCACACACACAGACCGUGCCUGCACGUGCAAGGCUCUAUGCCACCCUCUGAGGACACAUGGGGGAGACGCAAGCGAGGACCCGAGGGCAGAACGGGAGACACACUCUGUCCCUCUGCGUUACGGCCUUGUGCGCUGUGAGCUCCCCGAGAGACGCAGCCUUGUUUGAUUCAUGCCUGGGAGGCCCGCACUGCCCCUAAAACUGGCCCUGAGAAGCUCCUCUAAAACUGAACGCAGGAACGGAUGCAGGAGUAAUGGAGAGAGGUGCAUCAGCUGCUCCGAGUGGUGCAGGGUGGGAGAAGGGAGGCAUGGGGUGCAGGGACCCAUCAGAUGGAGGGUACAGGGUGGAGCGGCGGCCGCCCUGCUCGCCUGGGACUCCUACCGCUCCUCGCUGUCCUGCCGGUCCCUGGAGAUGAGCCCCUCCUAGGCUGGCACCUGGCACUGAGGAGCUGGGUGAUCUCUGCUGGGAUCCACAGUGAUCUCCACGCUGACUGACAGAAAGGGAGCUGUUGUGACCAGCGAGCGCCACGGACAGCGCUGCAGAGUGCUGGGGGUGGGGGACAGGCCAGACUCGCUUAACCCUCAGGUCAUUGAGUGUCUGUCAUCUGAGUGUUGUCAGCAUCCAGCAGAGCUUUGCUCUUCCCCAGGUUGAGGUGCACAGUCUGACAAGAAACUGUCCUCCCCUCCUCGGAUCCGCCGUGGGGAGGGACAAAGGCAGGCAAAGCCAAAGGCAGGGAAAAUCCCACCCAGAAAGAUGUCCAAAGGCAGGAGGAAUUUCCAUGGGCACAUGGCCCAGCCCCUCCCAGCCUUCAGCAAAUAUGCUCAAGUGUG